CAACAACAACAUCAGCAGCACAUCAGAAAUACAUCUGCCAAGGAUAGUGGGUGUGAGCUGUGAGAAUAAGCCCAGUUCUCAAUUUAAGGUUUUACUCAAAAAAGAGAGCAGUGAUGAAUUUCAGCCCAUGCAGGGACAAACCAGACCGAGAGUGAACAGAGAGAAAUCCCUACAACAGAUAUCAGUACCUGAACUGCAGGAGAACGAGCCUCAGAGGAAAGAAAGCCAUCCACGCACACCGAUUGAAGGGUCGGCAGCUGUUACACUCCCAAGUGACUGCUUCACUCAGCGCAACUCACUCUUCAGCAAGGAAGUACUGCAGGCUGAGGCAUGGAUCAAAGGCAAGCUACAGGACUUGAAGGAUGGAUGUAAUAUUCAGUGCUGCCCCCUGGAGGAUUGGGAAGACGCCUCACAAAUGCUUCAGAGAGAUCUUAAAGACUUUGAGAACACCCUGAUUCAACUCAACCAGAUGGGUGAGCAGCUGAUCUGUAAACUGAAUCCCACAUCUGAUUUGGUAAAGAAGCAGCUCAGUCAGCUCAGGGACCAGUGGCAGACCCUCAAACAGAUGGCUGCAAAUCAGAUGAGGGCUCUAGGAGGAGCCAAGAACCUGCAGGAAUUCAACAAAAAGGUGGACAAGCUGGAGGCAUGGAUUAAAGAGAAGCAGGAAGAGGAACAGUGUCUGGUGAAUGUCCUGGGGGAAAAUGUUGACAAAAUGCAGUUGACUAGAAGAAUUUUAGAUCUGAAACAGGAUGAGCAGCUACACAGAAAUCUCCAUGAGGAAA
Molecule: long non-coding RNA, 782 nt
Organism: Oreochromis aureus
Lineage: Eukaryota; Metazoa; Chordata; Actinopteri; Cichliformes; Cichlidae
Source: Ensembl